UACGGGGGGGGCAAGCGUUGUUCGGAAUCACUGGGCGUAAAGGGCUCGUAGGCGGCCAACUAAGUCGGACGUGAAAUCCCUCGGCUUAACCGGGGAACUGCGUCUGAUACUGGAUGGCUUGAGUUUGGGAGAGGGAUGCGGAAUUCCAGGUGUAGCGGUGAAAUGCGUAGAUAUCUGGAGGAACACCGGUGGCGAAGGCGGCAUCCUGGACCAACACUGACGCUCAUGCACGAAAGCGUGGGGAGCAAACAGG
This 253-nucleotide ribosomal RNA is filed under the name uncultured bacterium. Its description in RNAcentral is "partial 16S ribosomal RNA". It matches the Rfam family "Bacterial small subunit ribosomal RNA", at positions 524 to 776 of the family's 1533-position model. The record is from RNAcentral.